RNAcentral lists this ribosomal RNA (424 nucleotides) under uncultured bacterium. RNAcentral describes it as "bacterial SSU rRNA". It matches the Rfam family "Bacterial small subunit ribosomal RNA", at positions 28 to 451 of the family's 1533-position model. The record is from RNAcentral.
GAUGAACGCUGGCGGCGUGCUUAACACAUGCAAGUCGAACGAUUAAACUGGCUUCGGCCAGAUAUAGAGUGGCGAACGGGUGAGUAACACGUGACCAACCUGCCCCGCGCUCCGGGACAACCGCUGGAAACGGCGGCUAAUACCGGAUGCUCCGGGGAGGCCCCAUGGCCUCCCCGGGAAAGCCUUAACGGCGCGGGAUGGGGUCGCGGCCCAUUAGGUAGACGGCGGGGUAACGGCCCACCGUGCCCGCGAUGGGUAGCCGGACUGAGAGGUCGACCGGCCACAUUGGGACUGAGAUACGGCCCAGACUCCUACGGGAGGCAGCAGUGGGGAAUUUUGCGCAAUGGGGGCAACCCUGACGCAGCAACGCCGCGUGCGGGACGAAGGCCUUCGGGUUGUAAACCGCUUUCAGCAGGGAAGACUU